AUGAAUCUUCUAUGCUAGAACUGCCGGGGGAUUGGCAACGCCCCGACAAUUCAAGAGCUGCGCGAACUCGCGAAUAAGUUUGCCCCUAGAGUGCUUUGUAUAGUUGAAACCCAAAUCAGUGGGGAGAGAGCUAAAAAUUUAAAAAGUUCUUUAGGUUACGAUUGUUCUUUUGCUGUUGAUGCCUCCGGUAGGAGUGGAGGUUUGGCUGUUUUUUGGAAUAAUGAAAUAAAAGUCGAUAUUUUGGGUUUCUCUAAGUACCAUAUUGAUGGCAAGGUUCUAGGUGUAGGAGAUCAACCUUGGAGGCUCUCUUGUUGA
RNAcentral lists this ribosomal RNA (315 nucleotides) under Triticum aestivum (bread wheat). Its description in RNAcentral is "partial small subunit ribosomal RNA". The record is from RNAcentral. Lineage: Eukaryota; Viridiplantae; Streptophyta; Magnoliopsida; Poales; Poaceae.